UUAGAUCCCUUUUCUCAAAGCGUAGGCAUGCAGACACGGGGCACCCUCUCCCUCUGCUGCCAUUAGUGUCUCCUUAGAAUUUGAAUUGUUUUUCCACUGACAACAGAACAAGUCCCUAGGGUGAUUUAUGCCUCCAAGGUGUCAUUUGCCUCAAUGGCUGUCCCCAGAGGCUGUUUGCCACAAGCUCUAUUUCCAGCAGGGUGUCCUCUGACCCCUCUGACACCCACACUUUAUGGUGGCAGAUAUAGGGCCCCAAAGUAGAACAAUGUUCAGGCAUCUGGCUCAUGCCCGCUUUUAUGAGCAAAACCUUAUUUCACCUGCCAGUCUUUUGGUGAGCAUUGUGUGUGCUGGUUCCUGCCUUGGGCAGCAGGUGCCACCUAGAGGGCCCUGUGACUGCCACCGUGGCUUGGCAGGGGCUGGGCAGCCUGGGUCCUGAGGAAACUCAGCGGACAUCCACUGAGGGUCACACAGGCCCCUAAGCAGCCCUGACACUAAGCCACCCUGAAGCCCUGGGCGUCCGAGGAGGGGGCUGUCGGGGAACCCGGGAAGAACAAUAGGAGGUGGGCCUGGUUCCUAGCACUCAGCCACCUUGCUUGACGUAAUUCUGAGAGGAAAUGGGCAAGAACUCUGUUUGUCGGCCACAAGGUGUCAGCAGCGGGCUGGCCAGGGGAUGGCUCUGCGAGCAGGCCCAGGAGGAGCCGCAGCACGCUGAGAGGGUGUUGCUGGUUGCUCUUUGAAGUUCCUAGUUUGCAGAGACUGCUUUUCUUAUUAGUGGGGGCCUGAUGAUUACGAUACCAAAAGACCCCUCUCUGCCUUGCCUGCGGACCAGCCACAUGCCUCUCUCUGCUUUCAGUUGGGUAAAAUUGCCGCCGCCGGACACCUCAACCAAGCCUGAACUGCAGCUUGAAGAGCUGGAUGCAGGUGGAGAUUUGGGGAUAACACCACACAAAGCAAUGAUGUAGGAGGUGUAUGAAGACGGAGUAGUUCAGGACACUCCUUUUUAAAAAAUUGGAUAUGAGUUCUGGCUUGCCUGCGCGCUAGGUGUGAAUUUGAAGUCUGGGUUUGCAUCCCCAUCUGUAAAAUAGCAUGUUUCCCAUCUUUCAAACGACGAUAUCCACAGGCUUCUUAUGUGGGUCAAAUGAGAUCAGGUAAUUUGCAAACUAUGAGGUACUAUACACACGUGGGUGCGAUUGUUGGGGCUUAUCUUUUGGCCCAAGCUGUGUCCUAGAGCUUCCUUCUGACUAGAGGAACAGACACUGAAGCACAAACGGAUGGCUGACUCUUCCGAGCGGGUCAUGUGCAGUCUCCGUGUGAGCUGCCAGCCAUCAAGUUCCGAUCCAGCCUGAUAGAGUCAUCUUCCAACUAGAUUCUUCCUGGAUGCCUUUGCAUGGCUCGUGUCCAACUGGAAAGCUGGCAGUGGAUGCUCGCUCUUCCCUCUUCACUGAGCCCGCUUUUCCAUACUGGAAGAAGAUGAAACACACAUUUCAGAAUAUCCUGAGCUGGAGCAAGGUAAGUCUGGAACUGCCUACUGCCAGUUUUCCUUUCUUUGGUCCUACCCUCUGGAGGGAGUUAUUUGAGGAAAGGCAGAAUGAGAUCAACACAAAGAGAGAAGCGGAGAUGCAAACUGCAGGUAUACUUUGAGUCUCCAGAUCCACGCUAUUCAUUCCAAUUAGAUAAGCUAUAAAUAACUCCCCUUUUUUGCUUAAGCUACUUCGAGUUGGGCCACCUGACAGAUUUGUAUCUGCUGAAUCAGGUCAGGACUGAGGGAGUUUGUGCUGCCUCUGUGUUCUCAGUUUACUAAUCUCACCUACAGCGUGACACAGCUGUGGCUGUUGGUAGUGAUGGCUCAAACCAGCUAUCCUCAUUCACUGGUGGGCAGGAAGCAGGUGGGACCCCUUAAAAGAGACCCCAGCCCAGUUAGUAUAAAGAAACCUCAAGGUUCUGUACUAUGAUAGUGAUGAACACCUCAACUGAUGGAAAGUGACACUGUAAAAUCAGCACACAUGGGAGGGGGUAUGUAGACGUUGGUGUCCUUUUAUUUAUUGCCUGGUGAGCUUAGAAAAGGAUAAUAUCUUAAAGGGGGUUCUCCGUCAAAAUAAGCCAUUGUAGCUGAGAGUUAUUUAAUAAGGGAAUAGGGAAGGGAGGUCUACUUUUCAGUAAGAGAGAGCCUUGUUUGCACAUGAUGUCCCUGUCCUUCUUCCCACCAGAAGGGCAGUCACGCUGGAGGACAGCUGGAUUUAACGUCCAAGCGUACAUGCUCUGUGCAGGAGAAUGAUGUGAUCUAACAAAGGCUGGGGCAUAUGUCCAGUGAACAAAAUGAUGAUUUCAAUUUAUUUUUUCUUGUGAUGCGUAAUAGCUUUAAAGACCAUUUCUGCACAAGGUUAGCAGAAAAGUUGCGUGAUUUCUCUAAGGCCAAAGAACAAAGGUUUUCUUUGUUUUUGUUUUUGUUGAGAGGGAGUCUGUCUCCAUCGCCCAGGCUGGAGUGCAAUGGCGUGAUCUCGGCUCACUGCAACCUCUGCCUCCUGGGUUCAAGCGACUCUCCUGCUUCAGCCUCCCAAGUAGCUGGGAUUAUAGGUGUGCACCACCACUCUUAGCUAAUUUUCCUAUUUUUAGUAGAGACAGGGUUUCACCGUAUUGGCCAGGCUGGUCUUGAACUCCUGACCUCAGGUGAUCUACCCACCUUGGCCUCCCAAAGGCUGGGAUUAAAGGCGUGAGCCACUGCACUCAGCCUUAAAGAACAAAGUUUUAAAGAAAUAUCUUAAUUUUUCUGAUAAAAAAAGUACAAGCAAUUCUUUUAAAAUUCAAUAAAAAUUAAGAAAGCAAAGAUCAUUUAAAAUUCUAUCACUCAGAGAUAAGCACUAUUUAUAUUUUGGUGUAUUUCUCCCAUAUAUAUUUCUAUCAAACGGCAAGAUUAGAAGCUGACUCCAGACCAGAAUUAGGGUCUUUUGAUGCCUUUAAGGAUAUUUGUUUUUUAUUUAUUAUGACAUUUUAAAAUAUAAUUAUAGAAAAUAAUGUGAUAAAAAGCCGUGGACCCAAAGCCCACAUAUAACAAAAUUUAGCAUUUACUCUGUUUACUUUGGAUGACUUUUUGUUUUAAAAAACACAAUACUGCAGAUUGUUUGAUCCCUCACGCCCACCCCAUACUCUUCCCUGAUCCCAUUUUUCUUUCCUGGCGUUAACCAUAAUCCUGAAGUUGGGAGUAUCUUUCUGUAUUAUGGUUCUCCAGAGAAAAAGAACUGAUAGGACAUAUAUAUAUUUGCAGAGGUGCAGAAAAAAAGGAGUAAAGCCCUUCUUCCUCUACUCUUUGUUCUAUUCAGGCCCUUAAUGGAUUGGGUGGUGCCCACUCACACUGGGGAGGACCAUCUGAUUCAAGUGCUGAUCUCAUCUGGAAACACUGGCACAGACAUACCCAGAAAUCAUGAUUAAUCUGGGCACCCCAUGGCCCAGUCAGGUUGACAUAUAAAAUUAACCAUCACACUUUUUUACAUGUGGUUUUGUUGUUGUUGUUUUUAGAGACAGGGUCUUACUCCGUUUUCCAGGUUGGAGCGCAGUCGUGCAAUCAUGGCUCACUGCAGCCUUGAACUCCUAGGCUCAAGCGAUCCUCUUGCCUCAUCCUCUCGAGGAGCUAGGACCACAGGUAUGCGCCACCACAUCCAGCUAAUUUUUUAAAAGUUUUUUGUAGAGACAGGGUCUUGCUCUGUCACCCCAGCUGGUGUCAAGCUCCUAGUCUCUCUCAUACAUGUUUUUAUAUUUUUCUAUGUAUGUAUGCAUACUUAAACAAUACAACGUAUCAUUUUUUGCCUUUAAAAAAUUUUUAAACAAAUUAUAUUAAUAUGUGUGUCUUCUUCUAAAACUUUCUUUUUUGUACUCACCUUUAUAUCUCUGACAUUUAUGCAUGCGAUACAUCUAUUAUCAUUUAGUUACUGUAUACUACCAUUGAAUGAAUAUAUCAGAGUUCAUUUAUCCAUUCCUUUGUGAAUAGACUUUUAGGUUGUUCUAUGUUUUGCUAUUUCGAACAAUGUUACCAUGGACAUAUUUGUCCUCACCUUGUGAACACCUGUGAGAAUUUCUGGAGGCGGAAUUUUGAGGUGGGAGUACAGGCGCAUCUUCGACUUUUUAUUAAAUAUUGCCACAUUGUUUUCUAAAACAUUUGUUAUACUCUGCAAUGAAUUCAGGUUAUGGCCACAAGAUCUACACAUUCUCCUUGGUUUUUGGCUGGAGCAGCUCUCACCACCACUUGUGCUAUUGUUUUGGGGCCAGUUGGCCACUGCUGCCUCCACUGUUGCCAUGAAACAGCAGCCUGCUUGUAAGCAUAAAGUCACAGUGCUCAUGGUAGAAUAUUUGUAAAGGUGGCUGCAAUGACCCCUUUCAUUGCCAUGUGCAUGCCGCAUUACAGUAUGCCUACUCUACUCCCAUCAAGAUGUGUAUUUCCCUUCUCCUUGAAUCUGGGCUGGCCUUGUAACUUCUUUGACCAACAGAAUGUGUGGAAAUGACCUUGUGUGACUUCUGAGUCUCAGCUUCAAGACAUCUUGCAGCCUCUUGUCUCCUCAUCUUGGAAUGCAAUGCUGCCAUGUUAGAAAGCCUCCAAGAGGGUGAAUCAUCAUAUGAAGAGAAGCAACCAUGAAGGAUGACCCUAUGAUGAGAUGGUGCCAUCAGGAAGCACCAAGUGCCCAACAUGUCACUGUGGCCAUCUUGGACCAUUCAACCCCAAGUAAGCCACUAGAUGACUGCAGCCAUGUAGGUAACCCCUGGAAAGAUCAACAGAAGAACCACUAAGCUGAGCCCAGUCCAUAUUGCUCGCCUGUAGUAUUAUAAGCAAAUAAAAUGGUUGUUGUUUUCA
Long non-coding RNA from Homo sapiens (human), 4840 nucleotides. RefSeq lists it as uncharacterized. Lineage: Eukaryota; Metazoa; Chordata; Mammalia; Primates; Hominidae. The transcript has 2 exons. The record is from RefSeq and is a predicted model, not a curated record.